AACGUAGGUGGCGAGCGUUAUCCGGAUUUACUGGGCGUAAAGCGUGUGCAGGCGGCUGACCAAGUGGUGUAUGAAAUAUCCAGGCUCAACCUGGAGGGGUUAUGCCAGACUGGUCAGCUAGAGUGCGAGAGAGGGGCGUGGAAUUCCGGGUGUAGUGGUGAAAUGCGUAGAGAUCGGGAGGAACACCUGUGGCGAAGGCGGCCACCUGGGCCGACCCUGACGCUGAGGCGCGAAGGCGUGGGGAGCGAACGGG
RNAcentral lists this ribosomal RNA (253 nucleotides) under uncultured bacterium. RNAcentral describes it as "partial 16S ribosomal RNA". It matches the Rfam family "Bacterial small subunit ribosomal RNA", at positions 524 to 776 of the family's 1533-position model. The record is from RNAcentral.